CCUACGGGAGGCAGCAGUGGGGAAUAUUGCACAAUGGGGGAAACCCUGAUGCAGCGACGCCGCGUGAGUGAAGAAGUAUUUCGGUACGUAAAGCUCUAUCAGCAGGGAAGAAAAAAAGUCCUUUGGACUUUGGACGGUACCUGACCAAGAAGCCCCGGCUAACUACGUGCCAGCAGCCGCGGUAAUACGGAGGGGGCAAGCGUUAUCCGGAUUUACUGGGUGGAAAGGGGGCGCAGACGGCGAGGCAAGCCAGGAGUGAAAGCCCGGGGCCCAACCCCGGGACUGCUCUUGGAACUGCGUGGCUGGAGUGCAGGAGGGGCAGGCGGAAUUCCUGGUGUAGCGGGGAAAUGCGUAGAUAUCAGGAGGAACGCCGGUGGCGAAGGCGGCCUGCUGGACUGCAACUGACGUUGAGGCCCGAAAGCGUGGGGAGCAAACAGGAUUAGAUACCCUUGUAGUC
Molecule: ribosomal RNA, 457 nt
Filed under: uncultured bacterium
Lineage: Bacteria
Description: partial 16S ribosomal RNA
Rfam family: Bacterial small subunit ribosomal RNA
Source: RNAcentral